GAAACUUUAGUAAUAAAGUAAUAGUCAUUGUACAAUUACUAUUGUAUAUUACAUCAAUUAUCAACUAUAUAAUUAAAAGUGUAAACUUAAUUUUACCAAAUUUUGAAUUUUUUAUAUUACAGACUUACAGUGUAUAUGUGAGACAGUGAGAGAGGGUGAGAGAGAGAGAGUGACUUGCUAACUUUGAUUUAUUGUUUAUGCAAUUAAGUAAUCAUAUUUAGUGUAAAAAGUAGUGUUUAAUAAUCCAAUUAAACAAUGUCAC
RNAcentral lists this long non-coding RNA (262 nucleotides) under Panax ginseng (ginseng). RNAcentral's name for it is "long non-coding RNA (PGIN_LNC014201)". Lineage: Eukaryota; Viridiplantae; Streptophyta; Magnoliopsida; Apiales; Araliaceae. The record is from RNAcentral.